This is a long non-coding RNA of Siniperca chuatsi (mandarin fish), 2968 nucleotides long. RefSeq lists it as uncharacterized. The transcript has 2 exons. The record is from RefSeq and is a predicted model, not a curated record. Lineage: Eukaryota; Metazoa; Chordata; Actinopteri; Centrarchiformes; Sinipercidae.
GACUUUGUCGCAUUGAGCUGCAGAUGGUACAGCAGAUGGUUUAUCAUCUAUUUUACUCUAAAUUUGACCAUAAUUUACAAAAUGAACAUCAUGCUACUGAACUGAAUUGAAGUAUCCUUCAGUGAUAGACAUAAUUAGACUCAGUCCCUAACAAUCAUGUUAUUCUUUUAAUAGGUUUUCUGUCACUUCACAAUAGUUAUAACCUGUGUUUUGUUUGUAAUUAUAUAUGUGGAAAUGAGUGUGUAUCUGGCAUUUUAUUCUAUUCUUUGUUCUUUUGGUAUGCCUUGUAAAGCACUUUGUAAUUGCUUGUUUUAAUAAGUGCAGCGACUGCUGCGAGGAACCUAUUGUAAUUGUAAGGAUUAUUAUUAUUAUGUAUUUUAUUAUUAUUUAUAUUUUUGUACAAGCGCAUUUUUGAGGGACUAGGGAUGCUCAAAAACUCACCAAACAUGGCACACACAUCAAAACUGGCGAGAAUCGCGACCUGAUAUGGGUCCCAGGUUUGGGUGUGGCAAAUUGACUUGAUAGCGCCCCCUAACAGUUUUCAAAGUCAUCUCUAGACUUAAAAUAAAAACUUGGAGCCAUACCCAAAACCCAACAGGAAGUCAGCCAUUUUGAAUUUAGCAUGCUAUUUUUCGCCAUUUACAGGCUCCGUACUUGAAUGAAAUCCUCCUAGAGAAUUACACAGAUCGACUUCAAAUUUGGGCAGUGCAAUCUAAAGACCUCUGCGAUGCUAAAUUGCGAAGCUCUUGAGGUUUCCUCAAAUGGUGUUGCAGCAAAUUCUGUGUUCCAAAAUUAGUAACAGUGCUAUCUUGUUCCAAAAUUAGUAACAGUGCUACCCUGAUUAUAUGCUACAUUCCUAUAUUGGAAUGUAACAUAUAAUUAGUGGGCGUUCUCUAGUACCACGUAGUGGACACAGGAAGUGGCAUUCAACUCUUUCGUGCAACGUCCAAAAUGCUGGAAGAUUCAGAAUCGCAUCAGCUGACCUCCAGCAAUGGCACCACAAAUGCGGAAUGCCGUAACUUGCAGGAGGUGCGAGCACUCACUUAUCUCUGCUUGCAGCUUUAAUAAUAAUAUUAUUAUUAUUAUUAUUAUUAUUAUUAUCAUCAUCAUCAUCAAGCACACAACAUAUGUUUAACAGAUUGAACCUUCAUUGCACAACAUGAAACUAAAAGCCUACACAGAAAAUAAGGAUUUGCUACAAAACGUGGUGUUUGUGGUCAGUCAGCUCUUUGAUCAGGUGACAGCCAGGCAUUUCCCAUCAUGCCCUGGGUCUUGCAGUCGGUUGGAGAGUAGCUGCGGCGCCUGGCCCUAGAAACUGCAGCAGCCUCGAUCUCGUCAAAGCAAGUCGGACACAAAUCUGCAUCUGCAAUGCAUUGUGCGGCAAUUGCCGGUGAUCUAUUCUGCGCAGAUCUUGCCCAUCUCGAACAAGCCUAUUGAGUGAUGAUUUCGGGCACAGGGUUACACAUGGAUGUAUUAUUAGAACUGGAUACUGGACCCCAAAAUGGCGCCUAUUCCUUCCAAUGAGAAUUACUCGCCUGGCACAUAAGCCAAAAAUAUUUUCUAGCUUUCGGGUUUACUUCUGGGGUAUGCGGCCCACUGAAUAUGCACAGUAGUGUUUCUCCUGCUGGCCCUGCCCUCAGCCCAUAGACUUUACAUUGUGAUGACAUCACAGAUUUUUGAAUCGCUUUUCUCGGCUCAAGCUAAGUUUUACAAAUAUAAAACCUCCAUGGAUCAAAAGUUCAUAAUAGAAAAAGUCAUAAUUGAACUUGUUUGCAGUUCGAGGUGUCCUGUCAACAGUUUUAUAGAUGACACUUUUAUAAUGGUGGCCUAUGGGGAAAAUGCUUUUUGGGCCACAGGGAAAUUUUUUGUUGCAAUACCACUGGGGAAAAAAUGGCUGCAAGGCUGAGUGGCAACGCCAUAUUCAGUUCUUAUUAUACAUCCAUAGGGUUACAGCAUGGAUGUAUAAAGAGAACUAGAUACAGUGUCUGAGGCAGUUCAUCUCUAUGAAAGCUGCUCAGUGACGCAUGAAGCCAAAAAAGUUCAACUUCCGUUCAAUCUGAAAACAUUGUGCACCGUUUUGUUACGGUUUCCGGGUUGAACGACGGGUUUCCUCAAAACGGUGUGCAACAGGCUUUGAUGUAUGUUUUCUCUUGUUUGGUGCAUGUGUCAGUGUUGUUCCCCAAUCAGCAGCGACCUGUAUAUAAACCCUGAUGUAUUAAAAAGGCAUUGUGCCUCUGACGUAUUAAAAAGGCAUUGUGCACAAUGCAAGCAAGCAGCGAUAAGUGAGCGCAACAAGAGUUCUUUACAAAUGCGUCCAUUAGAAGACAUGUUUGUCUUGAGUAUUUUAUAGUAAAGUUUUUUAAUAGAAUAAGCUAAUAACAAUUUAAUUUUAACUUUUUAUAUGGGCUAUUGUAUGUGUUAAUUUACAUCUUUAUCAUGUUUUUGAAAGCAUUUCAACAUUAUUUUAUAGUUUAUCUAAUUAGCUUAAUAGGUAAAAUGUGUGCCCCCUUUCUGUUUCAGCAAUCCCUUUGGAACAGGCUGCAUCCAAUCCCCAAGCUCCACUAGGGAUCAACACGGUUAUUAUACCGGGCACCUCCACACCACCGACGCCAGAUCGUCCCCCGUACAUCCACUUUCGCUCUGCCGGUGAUCACCGCCUCAGUCUGCCCUUCAGAUCACCCGGACCUCAGCUACCACGCCACUCUCGCCAUCCGGCCGAUCUUCGCCUCCGGACACUGCCGGCCAUCCACACCACACACCCAGCUUCAGUGAUCCUCCACCUGGUCGGCUUUGCCUCCCCGCUACGCUCGCCAGACCAGAGCCCAAUCCAGAGCCCACUCCGUCCGGAGUGCCAUCAGUCACGCCUCUGACUCGGCUCAGUCGGAUCCUCGGGGAGGCCACGGGUGACACCGGAUCUAAAAUUCAUUUUCACGUGUAAUAAUCUGCACAAUAAAAACCGUCACAUUUA